RNAcentral lists this long non-coding RNA (1849 nucleotides) under Cyanistes caeruleus (blue tit). Its description in RNAcentral is "lncRNA (ENSCCEG00000011517.1)". Lineage: Eukaryota; Metazoa; Chordata; Aves; Passeriformes; Paridae. The record is from RNAcentral.
CCCCCUGGGGCAGGCUGGCAGCAUCGCCACCGGCCCCUCGCCCGGCGCUGGCCGCUCGCAUCCCGCAGGGACGAUCCCCGCGCUGCCGCCAAGCCACGCGGGUCGUGGCAGCUCGGGGAAGGCUGCAGAGAGAAACCUUCCCGUGGCAGGGCUUGCGAGUGGGCUGUCAGCCGCCUCUCUGCCCCCCAGGAGAUGCUGCGGGAGAUGAGGAGGGCUGGGAAAGACCCCGCGUACCCACUACUCGGCGGGUACCCUGCCCCGUCCUCUCUCCUCCGCAGUGGGCAUCCCUAGCCGAGGGACAGGGGAGCUCCGCAGGGCCGAGGCGGCGUGCGGGGGCGGCGAGAGGUGGGAGCCCCCCGCGCCUCGCAGGCAGCUUUUCCACCUUCCCUUGCACGGGGUAAUGGCGUCAGAUGCCACGUAGGCCCGCAAAGCUAAAUCUGCCUGUGCACCCUUCCAGGGCCAGCAAAGCACCGCCAUAACCACAGUAAGGAAAAAGGAUCUCAGCCUGAAUUUGGCUAUACCGGGAGAAAGAAAAGUUCUGAGGAGCUGUUAUUAUAUAUUCUAAUGAGAAGUCAUUGGAGAAAUUAAAAAGGGCAGAGAAAGACGAAGACGCCAGCACUAAUUCCGCAGGAAGCCUCCCAGGGAAAAGGCUGUGUGAGUGUGAACGCUGAAAAGCAUGAAGGCCUGGAAUUAGACUAUCAUUUAGAAAGCGUUACUAAUCCGAAGUUACAGCAGUAAUUCCAUGAUUUGCUGGGUCCCACACGCAGCGCCAGAAUUAAAGAUACGGAUUUUCUAGAAAUGUAACUCAACUGUGGCACCGAGUCUCGGCAAGAUCCGAAUGAAUCAUUCAUUCCAAAGGCAGCGAAAGACGUGUCAUUAAGAACCAACCUCCUUCUCUCCAGCCCAUCUGGAAUAUGUAUACUCGAUGCAAUCCCAGAAAUUGUGGAAGAGAUCGGAGAAUUCCUGGAACCUGAUGCCUGCCUGGGGCUGUUUCUGGAUCGGCACAGACAUGACUGAGAGUUCGUGGAGUGGGAUGCCUUGGGAAGGGCUGGGACGUCUCCACCUGUGCAAGGAGAGGGCAGACCCAGCGAGGCUGGUGAGCUGUUUGGAGGGGUCUGGGCUGCCAAGGAGUGCGGGCAGUGGGAAGCGAGGCAAUUGAGCAGACACGUCAGAUGGUCUUCCUCAGCAGAGAUGACUUGAUCCCAGUGAGUGGACAAGGAACUUUUGAAGCCUGUGAGUUCCUUCCUGCAGUUGGCUACCACCUGCCCGGACUUGCCAUCUGACUUCUCCGAGUUUCUCCAGGAGGGUCUCAACCUGCUUCUCCAUUGGCCCCGGAGAGGAAUCAGCUUUGUCUCAUGGACACAGUGGAUUUCUGCAUCACUUUGAAACAGCGGUGCAGCCAUGGGGAGGGAGCCAGGGCAACACAGGGAGCCAAGGGAUCAUCCCACAUCACUCCUGUACGUUGCCUUCAGUGCCCUCAAUACCCCAGGGCAGAACCAAAGUGCUUAGGCAGAGAGACCUGAGCCAGUCACUGCUUACCUGGUGAAAUACCAGGUGUGUGAAGUUUGGAGGGAGCUUUUAGCCCCCGGCUUUGCUCAUGGAGCAGAGCUCGGCCCUUGCUGCUCUUGAUCCCUGGGUCUGUGGAGCUGUGGGAGUGCAGCCUUCCCAAAGGCACUGUCCUUGGGGCCCAGAGGGCCAUGAGCCUGUCCAGGCCAGGCAGCCCUGCUACUGUUGUACUGCACCCUCUCUUUUCCUGUAAGAGAAAUGUACUGCCUGUAAUUCUCCCCCAUUCAAAUCCCCCCCACCCCAUGCACUGUUGAUAAUAAACUCUCCCUUUUGCAAAAGUGAG